RNAcentral lists this microRNA precursor (75 nucleotides) under Ovis aries (sheep). Its description in RNAcentral is "miRNA (ENSOARG00000023393.1)". Lineage: Eukaryota; Metazoa; Chordata; Mammalia; Artiodactyla; Bovidae. The record is from RNAcentral.
UUGGCCAAAAAGUUCAUUCAGCUUUUUCCAUACCAUCUUGUGGAAAGACCGGAAUGAACUUUUUGGCCAAUCCAA